Long non-coding RNA from Chinchilla lanigera (long-tailed chinchilla), 2945 nucleotides. RefSeq lists it as uncharacterized. The transcript has 2 exons. Lineage: Eukaryota; Metazoa; Chordata; Mammalia; Rodentia; Chinchillidae. The record is from RefSeq and is a predicted model, not a curated record.
GAAGUUCCUGGCAGUGCCCACGCGGAGAGAGUUCCAAAAGCGGGGCUUGCUGAGGUGCUUGCUGAGUUGUGGUCUUACGUAGGUCUGCUGUGGGACCCAGAAACCUACAUCUCCCACGUCUCAACUAAGGCAGAGGCCAAAGGGUGUGCUGUGGACACUGCAGCAAGCUAUCAGGGGAGGCCAAGGCACAGAUGUCCUGGGGCAGCCACUCCAGCUUCCUGGGAGGACUCGUGAGAGAAGCAGGUUGCGAUCUCUGAUAUGGAAUUGAAGUAAAAACAUCUGUUUAUUCUGUGUUCUCCUGUGUCUGCACAAACACACUGAAAAGGGGCCAAGCGCACUCUGAGUCAUCGAAGCUCCGUCCCUGUGCCGUCUGAGAAGCUCAGUGUGUGACCAGCCGAGGCUGUAACCUGUGACUCGUGCUUGCAGGGCUGCCAACCCCUCACAGCCAGGUAGAAGGCAUUCAAGAGCUUGGCAGGCAAAUUCAGUCUGAAGCGUUAGCGAGAAGACAGGCAGUGAGGCACUUAGAUUUCACUUCUGCUGGAAAACAAAUACCAUUGCACACUGCAUCUGGGCCACACUGCCCCAAUCUGCCUUUUCCUUAAAGACGCUUUGCGGAACAGAGGUCUUUAUUCUGUUCCAGGUUGUUCGGGAAGCGUGAGGCGCACGACUAUUUGACCCUCCAGGUUGGGCAGCUUCAUCUGAUAGACAAUUCAAGCCGUGUAUUUACCAGUGAGCAGCAGCACCCUCGAGGCGGUGAGUGUGUGGAGCUGGCUGCAGGGUCCAGCCUACGCUGGGAAGCCUCGUUUCCCGCUGCAAGACUCCCUCCCUACGGCCGCUGCAGGAACAGUCAGAGCGGAGUUUGUGGGAAACCCAGGAGCGCUGCCUCUCCCACCGGCGGUUUAACUCUGGACAAGCUGUCCCGUUCUCCGAGUCCCAUUUGCCACCACCUUAGCCAGCUUUCCGUAUCAGUAACACAUGCCUGAGACCGUGGACCUCACAGGGGAAGCGUGGACUUCCCGGCCCUGGUCCGGCCCAGCCCCUCGCUUCUGGGCCUGCAGCGAGGCGCACGGGGUGGGGCAAAGCCAUGGAACUCGUGGGAACACGACAGGAAGAGGAAGCUCCCUCCAGGGUCGUGUCCCCUCCACGGCCUGUGCCCAGCAAUCUGUGGCUGCCCAGGCCCCGCCUCCACACCUUCCGCAGCCUGAACGUGGGAGCUUUGAGGACAUCUACCAGCAAACCUGUAGGACCCAGAUGAGAAAGCAGCCACGCUGUUCAGGAACACAGAGGACCCAGGGUCACGGUGAGGUGAACGCAGAUGGUGCAGAAGCCCCACCCACGUUCGUCCAGGUCUGUGCCAAGCAGGAAUGCGGCCAGUCCAGGUUGUGCCCCCUUAAAGGACAGCUCAGCCAUUGUACCUCGUGGCAGGCACUUAUCACAACCCUGUCACACCUUGCACAGCAAGUAAUCUGUAAUCUGUGCCCUAAAGGUAUGCUUUGCACCAGGAAACAGGACUUCAUCUGCCGACCUGGUCAUGUAUGCUUGGUGGAAACCGUAGCAGGAGGUGAAGGACACCAAACAAACCAGGGUCCAGGAGCCACAGAAUGUCACAGCCUCUGGUCCAGGCCCUCGGAGCUUGCAGAUGAUGUGGGGGCAGGGCAGGGCAGGACGGGGAGACGCCUCCUUGGUUCUGUUGCUGUCACAGCAAAGCCACAUGUAUCCUUCGCCCAGAUUUGGCUUCCUUGGCAUUGUUUCAAAAUGAAUUAAUUUUUCAGUUGACAAAUAAGAAUCAUACAAGCAUUUCCUUGAAGCACGAGCUUUCACUAAAGCUUCCCAUUCAGCCACUUGCUGUCAAGCCCAGCACCAGGGGCUGGUGACACAGACACGUGGUCCCCGCCAGGUCUGGACAGGAGCCCCCGGCAUGGACAAAGACAGCUCUGACCUCUGUCCCUGCCACCCUAGUAACUCCAGAACCCCUGGAGCAGUUCUGGAGGAAAUAAAAACUGUAAUCGCUAAUUGAUCCUCUGGCCCAAAUGAUGUUUAUUUGGAAUGUUUUCUUUCUGCUGUGAAACUGAGCCGUGCACUGAGAAGUCACAAAGCGCCAUUCUCCCGGCGUCGGCAGAAGUGGAUUUAAUUUCCGGAGUCGGGCGUGCGCCUGGGCCUCUGGGCCUGUGAAAGAGGCUCAGAAGUUCGGUCCAGAGCCCCCGUAGGUCACGGAGGCAGCCGGGGGCCUGUGGAGCGCAGGGGCUCCAUGGCACGGAGCAUCACUUUCUCAUAAAAACACAGUGAACUAAGAGUCCGGACGGCGGACGUCUGGCUUGUGAUCAGAUUUUGGCUGAAGCUGAUGAUCCUGGAGCAGCGGGGGAAAGGUGAGCCCCGCUGUCCCGGCCACAUUCCUGUGCCGUCAGCCUCCGUUCCGGAGCCCUGCCGAGCCCCGAGUGCGGCGGGAGCCCAAGCAUGGCGCUGCUCCUUCUGCUCGUGAGACCGCCAACCUCUUCCCGUUCCCAGUCACAACACGGCCGGGCGGGCUGGGACCCACUCGUGCCUUCCGAAGCGUUUUCUCAUCUCCUUAAAAUAAUUCCGCGUCAGCUGCAAACUAGCAAGAAGGAGGACGUGUGGCGGGGAGGUUCCCAGUGCCCAAAGACGCGGGCGUUUCCUGUGCCCGGAAGCCCGCUCAAGGAAAACUGGGCUGGCAUGGUCAGCCCUUUCUGGCCAAAGUGUGCCAACAAGUACAUUUGCAGGAUACAUUUUUGACUGUGAAUUAGCUAAACUAGAAAUGCAUGACUUAGUGUUAUAUGCAGAAAUGCGGUUAUUUUGGUAGCUCAAUACCUUGGAAAGAGAAUAUUGAUUCAUGUGGGGCCUGAGGCAUUUAAUUAAUCAUAACUUCCCAAAAGAUUGCUGAAACUUUUGUUUUAGUGGUACUGGAGAUUGAUCCCAGGGGUGCUCUA